RNAcentral lists this transfer RNA (68 nucleotides) under Acetobacter pasteurianus IFO 3283-01. RNAcentral's name for it is "tRNA-Glu (TTC) (tRNA-Glu-TTC-2-1)". Lineage: Bacteria; Pseudomonadati; Pseudomonadota; Alphaproteobacteria; Acetobacterales; Acetobacteraceae. RNAcentral also lists the same sequence under 7 other names. The record is from RNAcentral.
UGAAUUUGCCUAUUUAUCCCUGCCCUUUCACGGCGGCAACACGGGUUCGAAUCCCGUACGGGACGCCA